RNAcentral lists this ribosomal RNA (406 nucleotides) under uncultured bacterium. RNAcentral's name for it is "partial 16S ribosomal RNA". It matches the Rfam family "Bacterial small subunit ribosomal RNA", at positions 29 to 526 of the family's 1533-position model. The record is from RNAcentral.
AUUGAACGCUGGCGGCAGGCCUAACACAUGCAAGUAGAACGAGUGGCGGACGGGUGAGUAAUGUCUGGGAAACUGCCUGAUGGAGGGGGAUAACUACUGGAAACGGUAGCUACUACCGCAUACCAUCGGAUGUGUCCAGGUGGGAUUAGCUAGUAGGUGGGGUAACGGCUCACCUAGGCGACGAUCCCUCGCGGGUCUGAGAGGAUAACCAGCAAGACUGGAACUGAGAGACGGUGCAGCCUCCAACGGGAGGCAGAGGUGGGGAAGAUGGCACAAUGGGCGCAAGCGUGAUGCAGCCAUGCCGCAUGUAGAAAGAAGGCCUUCGGGUUUUGGAGUACUUUCAGCGGGAAGGCGUUGCCCGCAGAAGAAGCGCCGGCUAACUCCGUGCCAGCAGCCGCGGUAAUAC